UGGGGUUCUGUUGACCUGGAGUUACCCUCAGACUUUGGUUCUUUGUGGUGGUGAGGCAAGCUCCCAACGGCUCACGACUGGCCGCUGUUCAAAAUCCCAAGGACGCAGCUCAGAAGGCCUCAUCCGCCCAGACUGCCAAAGCUGACUUUGCACGUCUUUAUCUCAUCGGGGUACGAGGCCGCCGGCAACCCUCACGUGGUUUAGCCCGCCUGUUGAAGUGGUGUACUGGGGUGAGGCCACUGUCGCAUACACACAGCUACUUGGAGCCACAGGGAGAGCUGAGUGCCUGGCGGGGACCAAAGACAUCCAUGAAAACAGAAGAGUCCCCAAUGAAUGAGUGACAGUAAAAACAUUACAACCUCAAACCUUCCCCUACUUCCUGCUCCCACGCACAAACAGCAGAAACUACCCACCCCCCCCCCACAGUUACUUCGGCAAAAAAAAAGCAUCAACACCCUCUACCCACCAAGCAAGCUAUUGCAAAGCCCCCAAGAAAGACCAUGAUCUGCACUACAACAAAAAUUAAUUGUUCACCCAACAGUUUGACAUACCACAGGCUCUCUCUCUCUCUCUCUCUCUCUCUCUCUCUCUCUCUCUAAUAAAGGGACAGAGAGGUGUCACCCUUUCACAGUGAGACGGGAGACCAACAAAAAGAAACAACUUGCUGAUUUAUGGUGUUAAAGUCUGCAGCGUUGUUUUUUUUGCAAGUUCUCCAACUCAAGAAUCAGUAAAAAACUCUCCCCCAUCAACAAGAAAAAGAGAGAGCUCGAUCUAAGUACAGAGCCCCCGACAGCUGAUCCGCUGAUCCCAUUAUUCUAUGAUUAUGAAAUUAUGAUGAAAGUACAUUAAUCAGAACUAAAUAAUUUAAAAUGUAAAAAUGUAAUUUCAUGUCUUCAAUCUCUUCUGCCGCAUUAUUAUAGAAACUUCCUCAUGCUAUCAAGAAAUCUUUGAGUGUGGAUUCAUGUGAUAUUGGGGGUUAAUGCAGUUUCAGUUAACAAUAUGUGAGGUGUGGUACUAUUAUAAAGGAAUUAAGCCCUCCCGGCCUUUGAGCAUAUCUACAUGAAACACUGUCGCAGGAAACCAGCAUCCAUCAUCAGGGACCCACACAGCCCAGGACAUGUUCCCUUCUCAUUGCUGCUAUCAGGAAGAAGGUACAGGAGCCUCAGGACUCACACCACCAACUUCAGGAACAGUCACUACCACUCAACCAUCAGGUCCUUGAAUCAAAGAGGAUAACUUUAUUCAACUUCACUUCGUCAUUGAAAUGUUCUACAACCUAUGGACUUAUU
Molecule: long non-coding RNA, 1289 nt
Organism: Mobula hypostoma (lesser devil ray)
Lineage: Eukaryota; Metazoa; Chordata; Chondrichthyes; Myliobatiformes; Myliobatidae
Exons: 3
Source: RefSeq, a predicted model, not a curated record